GUACUGAUGAAGAGUCCCAAACAAUGACGAAACAGCUGUCCAGUAC
RNAcentral lists this non-coding RNA (46 nucleotides) under Trichobilharzia regenti. The record is from RNAcentral. Lineage: Eukaryota; Metazoa; Platyhelminthes; Trematoda; Strigeidida; Schistosomatidae.